RNAcentral lists this ribosomal RNA (467 nucleotides) under uncultured bacterium. RNAcentral's name for it is "bacterial SSU rRNA". It matches the Rfam family "Bacterial small subunit ribosomal RNA", at positions 338 to 795 of the family's 1533-position model. The record is from RNAcentral.
CCUACGGGAGGCUGCAGUCGAGAGGCUUCUACAAUGGGGGAAACCCUGAUAGAGCGACGCCGCGUGGGUGAUGAAGGUCUUCGGAUCGUAAAGCCCUUUCAGCAGGGAAGAAUGAGGCUGGUGUAAACAGCGCCAGACUCGGGACGGUACCUGCAGAAGAAGCUCCGGCUAACUCCGUGCCAGCAGCCGCGGUAAGACGGAGGGAGCAAGCGUUGUUCGGAUUUACUGGGCGUAAAGGGCGUCUAGGCGGGCCAGCCAGUCAGGUGUGAAACCCCCCGGCUCAACCGGGGAACUGCACUUGAUACUGCUGGUCUUGAGUACGAAAGAGGAAGGCGGAAUUCCUGGUGUAGCGGUGAAAUGCGUAGAUAUCAGGAAGAACACCGGUGGCGAAGGCGGCCUUCUGGUUCGAUACUGACGCUAAAGCGCGAAAGUGUGGGGAGCAAACAGGAUUAGAUACCCGAGUAGUC